This 409-nucleotide ribosomal RNA is filed under the name Hydrolithon reinboldii. RNAcentral's name for it is "bacterial LSU rRNA". It matches the Rfam family "Bacterial large subunit ribosomal RNA", at positions 2079 to 2485 of the family's 2925-position model. Lineage: Eukaryota; Rhodophyta; Florideophyceae; Corallinales; Hydrolithaceae. The record is from RNAcentral.
GACAGAAAGACCCUAUGAACCUUUACUGUAGCUUGGAAUUGAGUUCGGGUUUAUUAUGCGCAGUAUAGGUGGGAGGCUGUGACAACAUGUUUGAGGAUGUGUAAGAGCCAAUCGUGAGAUACCACUCUUAGUGAACUAGAAUUCUAAUUCUGAUUGCCAUAAUCUGGCCAGAAAACAUUUCCAGGUGGGCAGUUUGACUGGGGCGGUCGCCUCCUAAAAGGUAACGGAGGCGUACAAAGGUUUCCUCAGGCUGGUCGGAAAUCAGUCGUAGAGUGUAAAGGCAUAAGGAAGCUUGACUGCAAGACUUACAAGUCAAGCAGAGACGAAAGUCGGUCUUAGUGAUCCGACAGUACCGAGUGGAAGGGCUGUCGCUCAACGGAUAAAAGGUACUCUAGGGAUAACAGGCUGA